GUUGUUCAGCUUCGGCGACUCCAACAGUGAUAAGGGCAGCGCAGCGGCGGCAGUAAUGGGGAUCUGCAUCCCGCCGCCGGAGGGGCGAACCUACUUCUAGCACCCCACAAGGCAGCUCUCCAACUGCCGCGUCAUCCUCAUAUCUAGAGGGCUCAUACAAACCCAGUGAUGCAAGCGAUCCAUAUUUGGAGCUAGAGGAUAGGGAGUGAAGAUAUAUCAGGGUUAUUGCAUUUGUAAACAGUACAUCAACAUGUUGAUUCAGGAUUCUGCAGUGCGCACAUUUUUUUAUUGCUUCAAGUCUAUUCAGGAUUUAGAACUUUUGGUGUAGUUGUCUAGUGCACUGGAGGUGCAGACAAGCAUGCCAGGGUGCUGCUGGAGCCAAUCAGGGACGCAGUGGUGGAUGUGGAGGUAGUUUGUUCUGCUUGUCGCUGCCAUAUUCAUGCUGCUGCCGUUUGUGUUCAAGUAGCAAUGUCCAGAAGUUCACCCAACUCAGUUGCCACAUACAUGUUGGUUCUUUUCUGCACUUUACCCGAGGUUGAGCAACAUCCUUCCUAGCAUAUUCUUUGUGAUGGCUGUAAUUUUUAGGUAUACAUGUUACCUAAUUGUUUAUUGUUCAAGUAGCAAUUUAUCUCAUAGGUUAUCGUUAUCUGAUUGUUGGCUUGUUGGGUAGUAUCUAUUUUGAAUAGGGCGAGCAGUGAGUUUUACAUUGUCAAGUUACCUGAUUAUUUUAGAUUAUUGAGUUAUCUAGCAUUCCUUUCAUUUUCAGUUGAGCAAUUUUUCUAUUAUCUACUAGCAUUUUUAAGUAAUGGUUAAGCUGUUUAUUUAUUAUGCAUUUGCAAUUUUAUAGUUUUAUCUUGGCACUCUUUUAACAAUAUGUGUUGUCAGCUCAUUGUAUCUUUUUGUGUUGCUGUGUUUUAUGUGUUCACCUUAAAGGAUCAUGCUGUUAGGCAAAUAACUCAGACCUGAUUUAGGCAAUAAUAUAGGUAGGGAUUAGGCAAGAAUAUUAUUCUAGAUAGGCAACAAUAUGGCUCGUAAUAGGUACUUUUUAAGAUAUAAGCAUUUUUAUAUCAUCAUAUUCAGAUAGGUUCAGACUCCGCUUUUUGCACCUCAUAAUUGCUAUCAUCAGAUUCUUCAAUUGCUGGUUCCUCACUCACUUUCCUGCCACAAACUUCUUUGUUACAAACAAACUGAACUUUCUGCUUCUCACGUGCCAAACAUGAUAAGCGUGUAGUGCUUCUACGUAUAGAAAACCAAACCCUUUUUCAUAGGAAUUAUAGAACUCCCAAGACUCCUUUAUGGUGCCAAAAGUUUAAGGUACUGGAGGUGUUAACCAAACCUCAUCUUGCACUGCAUCUUUCUACAAUAUCUGCUAGCCCCUCUUUUACAACAUCUCGCACAACAUCACCAGCAACAACACUAGGUUCUUGGUUGUUAACAGAACAAGCAUUUGCAUUUUGGGUGAUACUACUAGCAACCAGUGUUGCACCAAUAUCAUUAUGGCUUUGGCGGCUCUGCCCCUGCUCAUCACAUUGUGGCCUUGCAACACCAAAGGCUGGCUGAGUGCAAUAGGAAGGAUUUGUGCCAACUUCAUCCAGAAAAUCACAAUCAAAUUCAGAGGGUAACUCAUUCAAAUCCAUGGUUCCUGCAAGCCACAUAAUCUUUUCAUAAUCAAUAUGCAGGUAGUAGUGUGUGCUACCAACUAUUUUUGCCCGAGCAUUUUCUAAACAUGACUUCCACAAUAAAACCAACUUGGAAUUUUUAUCGGGCAAUAAUGUGUUCACAUAAAGGCAUAACAAAGUAUUUUGUAUAAGCAAUUUCUAAACAUACUACCAGAAUACAAUUUAACUUGUGCAAUGGCAAUAAUGUGUUCACAGGAAAGCAUAACUGAGCAUUUUGCCUAAGCAAUUUUCUCGACAUUACUGCAUGAAUAAAAACUAACAUUGGCAUUUUUAUUGGGCAAUAAUGUGUUAACAGGAAAGCAUAACUACUAGAAUACCACUAACUUGGGGUAAUGGCAAUAAUGUGUUAACAGGAAAGCAUAACUGAGCACUUUGUCUAAGCAAUUUUUCUUAACAUUACUGCCUGAAUAAUAAACUGACUUGCUGCAUCUGAUCUACACUAUUUUUUUCUAGUUCCUGACAAAAGGGGAGGAGGUGGGUGGAGACCAGCAACGUGGAGGUCAAGGAUUUUUCACACAGGAACAAGCAGAUCAUUCUUCAAUGUGUAGACCACAAGAUGGCAACUGCAGUUUAUCUCUUUGUAGAUACAACAAUAAUGUGUUCUAGAUCUAUUUCUCCUGGCCAGGGAGCCCUAAGUUUCUAGCAGUUUUUGAAAAAAAAUCUGGUCUGUAUAGAUACACACGCACCUCUUUUGUUUGGUCUUCGGCUAUCAUCCCAUCUCUGCAGUCUUUUUCUGCACACUUUAUUGCCUGACACUAUCUUGUUGA
Panicum virgatum (switchgrass) is the source of this 2446-nucleotide long non-coding RNA. RefSeq lists it as uncharacterized. The transcript is spliced from 3 exons. Lineage: Eukaryota; Viridiplantae; Streptophyta; Magnoliopsida; Poales; Poaceae. The record is from RefSeq and is a predicted model, not a curated record.